UCUUGGUCAUUUAGAGGAAGUAAAAGUCGUAGCAAGGUCUCCGUUGGUGAACCAGCGGAGGGAUCAUUAUCGAGUUAUUCAACUCCCAAACCCUAUGUGAACUUACCACUUGUUGCUUCGGCGCGCGCUUCGGCGCCGCCGAGGACACUUAAACUCUUUGUUUUUAUAAGCAUUUCUGAGUGGCCGAAAGGCAAAAAUACAAAUGAAUCAAAACUUUCAACAACGGAUCUCUUGGUUCUGGCAUCGAUGAAGAACGCAGCGAAAUGCGAUAAGUAAUGUGAAUUGCAGAAUUCAGUGAAUCAUCGAAUCUUUGAACGCACAUUGCGCCCGCCAGCAUUCUGGCGGGCAUGCCUGUUCGAGCGUCAUUUCAACCCUCGAGCCCGACUCUUUUGAGGACGGCUCGGCGUUGGGGGACGGCAGACUCCCCCCGGCAUCUCGCCGGGGACGCCGCACCCGAAAUCUAGUGGCGGCCCUCCGAGGCGACCUCUGCGUAGUAACUUGUUCUCGCACCGGAAAGCUCAGAGCGGCCACGCCGUAAAACCCCAACUUUUUUCAGGUUGACCUCGAAUCAGGUAGGACU
This 580-nucleotide ribosomal RNA is filed under the name uncultured eukaryote. RNAcentral describes it as "eukaryotic LSU rRNA". The stretch from base 212 to 365 matches the Rfam family "5.8S ribosomal RNA". The record is from RNAcentral.